AUAUAUAUAUAUAUAUAUAUAUACGGUGAGAAAAAGGAGGCAUCGCAAGGUCUUGAGGGAAAACAGCGGACACCUAUUUGUGCAGCAGAAGAGUAAGCCAGUUUGGGACUCUGUGAAACGAGCAGAUUGCCUGAGGCACCGGAGAAUUGCGGCAGAAGCUUCGAGCACCAACUGUUUAUCGCAAGCCGUCGCAACGAAAUGUACUUUAGAGUUCACUUGCUCGCCGCUGUCAUGUUGAUUGCUACGCACACGAUCACGAAAUGUGCUGCCGCAACAGAAGAUAGCAGCAGUGGCGACGACAUUGAUUGGGGACCAACAAGCGGCAACGACUGCGAAAGUUCACAGCACUGCGAUCAGAGCAGCCAGUGUUGCGUGAGAGUCAACGGGAAGAAUACAUGUGGACCAUUGGCUGAGAUUGGUCAACGUUGCUCCAAUGGUCAUCAUGCCGUAUACGAACACCAUUGCCCAUGCAAGAAGCCAUUUACGUGCAGUUUCAAAGGCGAUUCACUCAGCAUCUGCGAAGCUCCGAAAGGAAAACGCAAAUAAGUUUCGCUGUGUCUCAAGUGUGUCUGACUUCGUGCUGCAUUGAUAAUAAAACUUUUCUUAAGAAGCGCCAUUGACUUCU
This is a long non-coding RNA of Dermacentor silvarum, 625 nucleotides long. RefSeq lists it as uncharacterized. NCBI's taxonomy places the organism in Eukaryota, Metazoa, Arthropoda, Arachnida, Ixodida, Ixodidae. The record is from RefSeq and is a predicted model, not a curated record. The transcript has 4 exons.